UGGCUCAGGACGAACGCUGGCGGCGUGCCUAAUGCAUGCAAGUCGAACGCACUCGCUUCGGCGAGUGAGUGGCGCACGGCUGAGUAACACGUGGGAACCCGCCCCCGGUGGGGGAUAACGCGACGAAAGUUGCGCUAAUCCCGCAUACCUCCGCAACGAGAAAGCGCCUCCGCGCGCCGGGGGAGGGGCCUGCGGCCCAUCAGGUCGUUGGUGGGGUAAUGGCCUACCAAGCCGAUGACGGGUAGCUGGUCUGGGAGGAUGACCAGCCAGACUGGGACUGAGACACGGCCCAGACUCCUACGGGAGGCAGCAGCAAGGAAUUUU
Molecule: ribosomal RNA, 324 nt
Filed under: uncultured Roseiflexaceae bacterium
Lineage: Bacteria; Bacillati; Chloroflexota; Chloroflexia; Chloroflexales; Roseiflexaceae
Description: bacterial SSU rRNA
Rfam family: Bacterial small subunit ribosomal RNA
Source: RNAcentral